Molecule: ribosomal RNA, 1026 nt
Filed under: Microhypsibius cf. bertolanii 259(63)
Lineage: Eukaryota; Metazoa; Tardigrada; Eutardigrada; Parachela; Microhypsibiidae
Description: SSU rRNA
Rfam family: Eukaryotic small subunit ribosomal RNA
Source: RNAcentral
AUAGAUCGUACAGAUUACAUGGAUAUCUGUGGUAAUUCUAGAGCUAAUACAUGCACACAAUCCGUUUCCUCGUGAAGCGGACGCAGUUAUUUGCCUUAAAAACCAAUCCGGCCUUCGGGUCGGUCAAUUGGUGACUCUGAAUAACCGAAGCAGAGCGCAUGGUCUCGUACCGGCGCCAGAUCUUUCAAGUGUCUGACUUAUCAGCUUGUCGUUAGGUUAUGUUCCUAACGAGGCAACGACGGGUGACGGGUGAUCAGGGUCUGACACCGGAGAGGGAGCCUGAGAAACGGCUACCACAUCCAAGGAAGGCAGCAGGCGCGCAAAUUACCCACUCCCGGCACGGGGAGGUAGUGACGAAAAAUAACGAUGCGAGAGCUUUAUGCUCCUCGUAAUCGGAAUGGGUACACUUUAAAUCCUAUAACGAGGAUCUAUUGGAGGGCAAGUCUGGUGCCAGCAGCCGCGGUAAUUCCAGCUCCAAUAGCAUAUAUUAAAGUUGCUGCGGUUAAAAAGCUCGUAGUUGGAUCUGGGUAGUCGAUGGACGGUGCGCCUCACGGCGUCUACUGUUCGUUCGGCACCACAUGCCGGCCAUGUCUUGCAUGCUCUUCACUGAGUGUGCUUGGCGACCGGAACGUUUACUUUGAAAAAAUUAGAGUGCUCAAAGCAGGCGUUAAGCCUUGCAUAAUGGUGCAUGGAAUAAUGGAAUAGGACCUCGGUUCUAUUUUGUUGGUUUUCGGAGCUCGAGGUAAUGAUUAACAGGAACAGACGGGGACAUUCGUAUUGCGGCGUUAGAGGUGAAAUUCUUGGAUCGUCGCAAGACGCACUACUGCGAAAGCAUUUGUCAAGAAUGUUUUCAUUAAUCAAGAACGAAAGUUAGAGGUUCGAAGGCGAUCAGAUACCGCCCUAGUUCUAACCAUAAACGAUGCCAACCAGCGAUCCGUCGGUGUUUAUAUGAUGACUCGACGGGCAGCUUCCGGGAAACCAAAGUGCUUAGGUUCCGGGGGAAGUAUGGUUGCAAAGCUGAAACUA